Molecule: transfer RNA, 65 nt
Filed under: Bruchidius siliquastri
Lineage: Eukaryota; Metazoa; Arthropoda; Insecta; Coleoptera; Chrysomelidae
Description: tRNA-Glu
Rfam family: tRNA
About the family: Transfer RNA (tRNA) molecules are approximately 80 nucleotides in length. Their secondary structure includes four short double-helical elements and three loops (D, anti-codon, and T loops).
Source: RNAcentral
AUUCAUAUAGUUUAAUAAAACAUUACAUUUUCAUUGUAAAAUUAGAAAAAAAUUUCUUAUGAAUA